This 119-nucleotide ribosomal RNA is filed under the name Pteropus alecto (black flying fox). The record is from RNAcentral. Lineage: Eukaryota; Metazoa; Chordata; Mammalia; Chiroptera; Pteropodidae.
GUCUAUGGCCAUGCCACCCUGAGCGUGCCUGAUCUCACCUGAUCUCGGAAGCUAAGCAAGGUCAAGCUUGGUUAGUACUUGGAUGGGAGACCACCUAAGAAUACCAGGUGCUGUAGGUA